CGGCGUGCCUAAUACAUGCAAGUCGAACGCAUUGUGGUUGAAAUGAUAUGAAGAACUUGUUCAGAUUUGAUUUUCAACAUUGCAAUGAGUGGCGAACGGGUGAGUAAUACGUGGGAAACCUACCUCUUAGCAGGGGAUAACAUUUGGAAACAAAUGCUAAUACCGUAUAAUAAUUAAAACCGCAUGGUUUUAGUUUAAAAGAUGGUCUUGCUAUCACUAAGAGAUGGUCCCGCGGUGUAUUAGUUAGUUGGUGAGGUAAUGGCUCACCAAGACAAUGAUACAUAGCCGAGUUGAGAGACUGACCGGCCACAAUGGGACUGAGACACGGCCCAUACUCCUACGGAGGCAGCAGUAGGGAAUCUUCCACAAUGGACGAAAGUCUGAUGGAGCAACGCCGCGUGUGUGAUGAAGGGUUUCGGCUCGUAAAACACUGUUGUAAGAGAAGAAUGACAUUGAGAGUAACUGUUCAAUGUGUGACGGUAUCUUACCAGAAAGGAACGGCUAAAUACGUG
RNAcentral lists this ribosomal RNA (512 nucleotides) under uncultured bacterium. Its description in RNAcentral is "bacterial SSU rRNA". It matches the Rfam family "Bacterial small subunit ribosomal RNA", at positions 40 to 507 of the family's 1533-position model. The record is from RNAcentral.